Molecule: ribosomal RNA, 253 nt
Filed under: uncultured bacterium
Lineage: Bacteria
Description: partial 16S ribosomal RNA
Rfam family: Bacterial small subunit ribosomal RNA
Source: RNAcentral
UACGUAGGGUGCGAGCGUUAAUCGGAAUUACUGGGCGUAAAGUGUGCGCAGGCGGUUUCGCAAGUCAAGUGUGAAAGCCCCGGGCUUAACCUGGGAACUGCGUCUGAUACUGGGAGGCUUGAGUAUGGGAGAGGGAUGUAGAAUUCCAGGUGUAGCGGUGAAAUGCGUAGAUAUCUGGAGGAAUACCGGUGGCGAAGGCGGCAUCCUGGACCAUUACUGACGCUGAGGCGCGAAAGCUAGGGGAGCAAACGGG